ACCGCAUCAGGUCUCCAA
This 18-nucleotide small nuclear RNA is filed under the name Arabidopsis thaliana (thale cress). RNAcentral's name for it is "snRNA_18717". Lineage: Eukaryota; Viridiplantae; Streptophyta; Magnoliopsida; Brassicales; Brassicaceae. The record is from RNAcentral.